GACGAACGCUGGCGGCGUGCUUAACACAUGCAAGUCGAACGGAAAGGCCCUGCUUUUGUGGGGUGCUCGAGUGGCGAACGGGUGAGUAACACGUGAGUAACCUGCCCUUGACUUUGGGAUAACUUCAGGAAACUGGGGCUAAUACCGGAUAGGAGCUCCUGCUGCAUGGUGGGGGUUGGAAAGUUUCGGCGGUUGGGGAUGGACUAGCUGCUUAUCAGCUUGUUGGUGGGGUAGUGGCUUACCAAGGCUUUGACGGGUAGCCGGCCUGAGAGGGUGACCGGCCACAAUAGGACUGAGAUACGGCGCAGACUCCUACGGGAGGCAGCAGGGGGGAAUAUUGCACAAUGGGCGGAAGCCUGAGGCAGCAACGCCGCGUGCGGGAUGACGGCCUUCGAGUUGUAAACCGCUUUCUCCUGUGACGAAGCGUGAGUGACGGUAAUGGGUAAAGAAGCACCGGCUAACUACGUG
This 468-nucleotide ribosomal RNA is filed under the name uncultured bacterium. RNAcentral describes it as "partial 16S ribosomal RNA". It matches the Rfam family "Bacterial small subunit ribosomal RNA", at positions 28 to 507 of the family's 1533-position model. The record is from RNAcentral.